RNAcentral lists this long non-coding RNA (1114 nucleotides) under Brassica rapa (field mustard). RNAcentral describes it as "long non-coding RNA (BRAP_LNC001588)". The record is from RNAcentral. Lineage: Eukaryota; Viridiplantae; Streptophyta; Magnoliopsida; Brassicales; Brassicaceae.
AGCUGUAGAUAAAUUAUUUUUAUUCAUUAAUAAUUGAUCAUCUUUUUAUUGAGAUUGUUUACUUAGUACAUUAUAGAUGGAAAAAGCUCCUUAUGUAUGGAGCAAGUAGAAAGAGUGAGAGACAUGCAUAGAGAUGAUCUUGAGGGGAAAAAGUGUUUCAUGCAUCAGAAAGCCUCUUCUUCUGACUCUGGGAAGAUAGGCUUGAGCGGAGGAAAUCUUGUUUCGCAGAAUUCUUGACAGUCCCGUUAAUGAAUCUCUGGUACCAUUUGCCAGAUUCUUUGAGGUUUCUGUCGUCGAGAUCUUAAUAUGAGAAUGGGGAAGCAUUCAUAAAACAUAAAUUACUGAGGUUUAGCUUCUUUUGGUUUUCUUGAUUAUAUAAGAACCAAAAUAAAAUAAAAUCAUUUGAAUGAUAGGAAAAUCAUAUGUAAAAUACUAUUAAAUUUUAGUUGAGGAUGAUAGAACUUUGGUGUAGCUAGAUUUGAGUUUGUAUAAGGUUUGGUCAUUGUUUAUUAUGUUGAAAAUCUAUUCUAGUAUAUAAAGUUGAACUUAUUAAGUUAAUUUAAGCUGAUCGGUUUGAUGUUUAUAUAUUUAUUACACAAAACUAGUUUGGGGUAAUUAUUUAUUUAUUUUCUAUGUGUGUCUAAGUGACGUUUUUGGUUUAAAUUGUGUUAUUUCACUCUCUCUCUCGAUCAUCUUGACAAAAUGUAGGUGUAGACAAUUUUUUAAUUCAUUAGUAACUGAUCAUCUUUUUAUUGAGAAUAUUUAUUUAGUACAUUAUUAUAGGUAGAAGAAGCUCCUUAUCUUUGGAGCAACUAGAAAGAGUGAGAGACAUGGAGAUGAUCUUGACCGGGGGAAAAAGUGUUCAUGCAUCAGCGAACCUCUUCUUCUGACUCUGGGAAGAGAGGCUUGAGCGGAGGAAAUCUUGUUUCACAGCGUUCUUGACGGUCCCGUUGAUGAAUCUCUGGUACCAUUUGCCAGAUUCUUUGAGGUUUCUAUCGUCAAGAUCUUCCCAAUUAACGUAACUGAGUCCAAAUCUGACGGUAAAGCCUUUACAGAAUUCAUAAUUGUCUCCAAGAGCCCAUGCGAAGUAUCCUCUCACGUUGACACCCUUCUC